This 1393-nucleotide ribosomal RNA is filed under the name metagenome. RNAcentral describes it as "bacterial LSU rRNA". It matches the Rfam family "Bacterial large subunit ribosomal RNA", at positions 1511 to 2925 of the family's 2925-position model. The record is from RNAcentral.
CUCAAGCGAGGUAGGAGUCGCGCUGGCAAAUCCGCGUGACAAUCCGAAGACGUGAUGCAUACCGAACUGAAGUAGGGAAAUGUGUGAGCCAGCUGCCAAGAAAAGCCGCUAUUGUUUGUACUGUACCCGUACCGUAAACCGACACAGGUAGGUGAGGAGAGAAUCCUAAGGCCGACGGGAGAAGCAUUGUUAAGGAACUCGGCAAAAUGACUCCGUAACUUCGGGAGAAGGAGUGCCAGUGAGAGCUGGCCGCAGAGAAUUGGCCCAAGCAACUGUUUAGCAAAAACACAGGUCUAUGCAAAACCGUAAGGUGAAGUAUAUGGGCUGACGCCUGCCCGGUGCUGGAAGGUUAAGGGGAGAGGUUAGCGCAAGCGAAGCUUUGAACUUAAGCCCCAGUAAACGGCGGCCGUAACUAUAACGGUCCUAAGGUAGCGAAAUUCCUUGUCGGGUAAGUUCCGACCCGCACGAAAGGCGUAAUGAUUUGGGCACUGUCUCAACAAUGCACCCGGUGAAAUUGAAAUACCAGUGAAGAUGCUGGUUACCUGCGCCAGGACGGAAAGACCCCAUGGAGCUUUACUCCAGCUUGAUACUGGGAUUCGAUAUUGUAUGUACAGGAUAGGUGGGAGGCGAAGAAGCAUUGACGCCAGUUGAUGCGGAGCCGCUGUUGGGAUACCACCCUUGCAGUAUUGGAUUUCUAACCAGCAGCCGUGACCCGGCUGGGGGACAAUGUCAGGCGGGGAGUUUGACUGGGGCGGUCGCCUCCGAAAGGGUAUCGGAGGCGCUCAAAGGUUCCCUCAGAAUGGUUGGAAACCAUUCGAAGAGUGCAAAGGCAGAAGGGAGCUUGACUGCGACACCGACGGGUGGAGCAGGUACGAAAGUAGGACUUAGUGAUCCGGUGGUAUAAAGUGGGAUUGCCAUCGCUCAACGGAUAAAAGCUACCCUGGGAUAACAGGCUUAUCACUCCCAAGAGUUCACAUCGACGGAGUGGUUUGGCACCUCGAUGUCGGCUCAUCGCAUCCUGGGGCUGAAGUAGGUCCCAAGGGUUGGGCUGUUCGCCCAUUAAAGCGGUACGCGAGCUGGGUUCAGAACGUCGUGAGACAGUUCGGUCCCUAUCCGGCGUGGGCGUAGGAUAUUUGAGAGGAGCUGGCCUUAGUACGAGAGGACCGGGCUGGACUGACCGCUGGUGUAUCUGUUGUUCCGCCAGGAGCAUGGCAGAGUAGCCAAGUCAGGAAGGGAUAAACGCUGAAGGCAUCUAAGCGUGAAGCCCCCCCUCAAGAUGAGAUAUCCCAACGCAAGUUGUAAGACCCCUUGAAGACGACAAGGUAGAUAGGGCAGAGGUGGAAGUGCAGUAAUGCAUGGAGCUGACUGUUACUAAUCGGUCGAGGGCAUAAUC